Non-coding RNA from Erythranthe guttata (spotted monkey flower), 255 nucleotides. The record is from RefSeq and is a predicted model, not a curated record. NCBI's taxonomy places the organism in Eukaryota, Viridiplantae, Streptophyta, Magnoliopsida, Lamiales, Phrymaceae.
UAGGAGCUGGCUACUUAUGGCUUCCUAUGAUGCUGCUAUCGAAAAUUGUUCAGACAUUCAUAUUAGCCGACUUUUGUUACUAUUACAUGAAGAGUGUGAUGAUGAAUGGCCAACUUCUGACCACCAUGCCUUUGCCUGUCUGAGAAAAAAACAAAUUAUGAAAUUAAGAGAAUGUAUUAGUUAAUUAGUGUACAUUUUUUUUUUGUUUUAAGGAUUCUAAUGUUUUUCUUAAUGCAUGAAAAUGGAUUUACUGCA